This 65-nucleotide transfer RNA is filed under the name Bradysia impatiens. RNAcentral describes it as "tRNA-Arg". Lineage: Eukaryota; Metazoa; Arthropoda; Insecta; Diptera; Sciaridae. The record is from RNAcentral.
UAAUUAGAAACAAAUUUGUAAUUAGUUUCGGCCUAACCAUUUGGUAAUAUAAUUAUCCUAAUUAA